AUGGAUGCCGCGGUGCACGUUCUCGUGUUCCCUUGGCCACGGCAGGGACACAUCAAUCCCAUGCUCCAGUUCGCCACCGCCCUCGUCGACGUUGGCGUCCAAGUCACGUUCCUCCACACCGAGCACAACCUCCGCCGUCUCGCCCAGGCGCAUCCGCCGGGCCUACGCUUGCUAUCCAUCCCCGACGGCCUCCCCGACGAGCACCCCCGCGGCUUCUUGGCGUUCAUGGAGUCCAUGUGCACGGCGGGCAGCGCCGCAUACCGUGCCCUGCUCUUGUCGCUUGUCUGUGCUGCUGAUGCGCCAGUGACAUGCGUUGUCGCUGAUGGCACCAUGCCGUUCGCCAUCGAAAUCCCCGAGGAGCUCGGCAUCCCCGCGCUCUCCUUCGUCACGCACAGCGCGUGCAGCUACCUAGCGUUCCUGUGUAUGCCCAAGCUCGUCGAGCUCGGCGAGACUCCCUUCACUGCGGACGACCUGGUUUCUAGCGUUCCGGGGAUGGAGCGCUUCCUCCGGCGACGAGAUCUUCCUCGUGGGCUCUACUGCACCGAGCAAGGCGACGGUGAUCCCUUGGUGCUCAAGUUCGCCGAGGCCGUCGGUCGUACCAGCAAGGCAUGUGCGCUCAUAUUCAACACCGCCACGUCCAUGGAGCGGCCAGCGCUCGCCCACGUCGCGUCGGGCACAAGCGACGUCUUCGCUAUAGGCCCACUGCACGCCAGGUCGAGUUCCGCCGCAAGCCCAAGCCUGUGGCGGGAGGACGACGGAUGCAUGGCGUGGCUGGACGGCCACGAGGACCGGUCCGUCGUAUACGUGAGCCUGGGGAGCCUCGCCGUGAUCACGCACGCGCAGUUCACCGAGUUCCUCUCCGGCCUGGCCGCCACGGGGUACGCCUUCCUCUGGGCUCUCCGGCCGGGCAUGGUCCAGACGACCAGCCCCGCUCUCCUCCGAGAAGCAGUCGGGGCAGCGGGAGGCAAGGGGCGCGUCGUCGAGUGGGCUCCUCAGCGGGACGUGUUGCGGCACCGGGCGGUGGGUUGCUUUCUGACACACGCCGGAUGGAACUCGACGCUGGAGUGCGCCGUCGAGGGCAUGCCGAUGGUGUGCUGGCCCUUCUUCGUCGACCAGCAGACCAACAGCCGCUUCGUGGGCGCCGUCUGGAGGACGGGGCUGGACAUGAAGGACGUCUGCCAGAGAGGGGUCGUGGAGAGGACGGUGAGAGAGGCCAUGGCAUCCGACGAGAUCAGGGCAGCGGCCCAAGCCAUGGCGCAGCAGUUGAGGCUGGAUGUUGCGGAGACGGGGUCGUCGUCGUCGGAGUUGGAGCGUCUCGUCCGCUUCAUCAGGGAGCUCAGCGUCAGAUCCUCCUCAAGCCCAGAAUUAUUGGAAACUAGCACAAGCUGCAGAGGUCUCUCAUUUACAUCUCACUACUACUACUAA
This 1425-nucleotide ribosomal RNA is filed under the name Triticum aestivum (bread wheat). RNAcentral describes it as "partial small subunit ribosomal RNA". Lineage: Eukaryota; Viridiplantae; Streptophyta; Magnoliopsida; Poales; Poaceae. The record is from RNAcentral.